UACGUAGGGUCCGAGCGUUGUCCGGAAUUAUUGGGCGUAAAGCGCGCGCAGGCGGUCCUUUAAGUCUGAUGUGAAAGCCCACGGCUCAACCGUGGAGGGUCAUUGGAAACUGGGGGACUUGAGUACAGAAGAGAAGAGUGGAAUUCCACGUGUAGCGGUGAAAUGCGUAGAGAUGUGGAGGAACACCAGUGGCGAAGGCGACUCUUUGGUCUGCAACUGACGCUGAGGCGCGAAAGCGUGGGGAGCAAACAGG
RNAcentral lists this ribosomal RNA (253 nucleotides) under uncultured bacterium. RNAcentral's name for it is "partial 16S ribosomal RNA". It matches the Rfam family "Bacterial small subunit ribosomal RNA", at positions 524 to 776 of the family's 1533-position model. The record is from RNAcentral.